RNAcentral lists this long non-coding RNA (485 nucleotides) under Trifolium pratense (red clover). RNAcentral describes it as "long non-coding RNA (TPRA_LNC012002)". Lineage: Eukaryota; Viridiplantae; Streptophyta; Magnoliopsida; Fabales; Fabaceae. The record is from RNAcentral.
AAUAUCGACGUAUCAGAAUCAAUCAGGUCCAUGUGUUAUGUCUAUGUUUGAGUACUUAAUUCAUAGUUUCACUUUCACCUCAAUGCUAUGCUAUGGUAGCUAAAACUAAAAUUUAUUGCAGGGGACAACUACAUAUUUGAGAGAGUGGUAGAAGUGUCAUUGUGACAGUUCCUAUUAAUCUAUCUAUCUAUCUAUUCCAAUUCCAAUUCCAAUUCAUUGAAAGCUUAGCUUAGUUCCACUUGAGCUUUCUUUCCACAAAUCACUCUUGCAAAGAAAACCUUUGUAUCACCAACUCUAGCUUUAAUCUUCAAGUUCAACUAUCACACUUCACAUACAACAACAUAUCUCUAAAAGCACUUAAAAAAAAAUCACUUCUUCUAUUGUUUCUAAUCCAAACAACCACCAAUCAUUAUAAUUCUACUUUGUUGUCUAUAUUAUACUUUCAAUCUUUAGCAUAAUUCAAUCUCUCAAACCAAGUUUAAGAG